This 304-nucleotide ribosomal RNA is filed under the name uncultured bacterium. Its description in RNAcentral is "partial 16S ribosomal RNA". It matches the Rfam family "Bacterial small subunit ribosomal RNA", at positions 509 to 809 of the family's 1533-position model. The record is from RNAcentral.
CAGCAGUCGCCGCGGUAAUACGGAGGGUGCAAGCGUUAAUCGGAAUUACUGGGCGUAAAGCGCACGCAGGCGGUCUGACAAGUCAGAUGUGAAAUCCCCGGGCUUAACCUGGGAACUGCAUUUGAAACUGUCAGGCUGGAGUCUUGUAGAGGGGGGUAGAAUUCCAGGUGUAGCGGUGAAAUGCGUAGAGAUCUGGAGGAAUACCGGUGGCGAAGGCGGCCCCCUGGACAAAGACUGACGCUCAGGUGCGAAAGCGUGGGGAGCAAACAGGAUUAGAUACCCCGGUAGUCCCUGUCUCUUAUAA